GCCCUCGUCACUCACUCCUCCCACUCACUCAUUCCCCUCCCUCUCGCUCGACUCGCUCGUUCCCCUUUUCUCGCCUCCGACGAAAUCCCUAGCUCGUCUCGCCUCCGACACUCACGUCGUCGCCGCUAGCUUGCCUAUCACCCGCGUCGUCGCUGCUCGCCUCCCUCUCCCCCGCGUCGUCCGGGCUGCCUUCACUGGUGCCGUCGCCUCUCACUCUUGCCCGCAUCGCCUGCACCAGCAAGGUCGCCACAAAGUUUGAUUUUUUACUGAAGGGGAGGCGAGAGCCUGUGGGAGGAGCUAUGCCGACGGCUGGGUCUGAAGCGGCUGGUCGUCUCACCGUGAGCACGAGGGGGAGGGGCGGGAGGAGCACGAGCGAGCGGCUGUUUUAGAUGAGGAGGAGCGGAGGCGGCAGUGACAUGGUGCAGGCGACGCUCCAUCUGCUGCUGAGUAUGACGAGUGGAGGAGGAGCAGGAGGACGUCGGCGCCGUCGGAACGUGGAGAACAAUCAAUUCACAGGAUCAAUCCCAGAGAAGAUGCUCACCAUCCCAAAAUUGGUGUAGAAGAAAGGACAACCACUUAACUAUUCAAUUUCUGCAGAAGAAAGGACAAUCAUUUAACCAUUCUGAUCCGCGGUUCCUCUCCGACCGACAGUGGUGAGCAGUUCAGAUCUGGAAGCACCAUACUGUGAUGUUGCUGUUGUGAUGUUCAGGGCGAGCAGCAAGGUGGACGCAGCGGGGAGCACCUGCGAGCAGCAAGGUGGGCGCAGCGGGGAUCACCUAGGCGAGUAGCAAGGGAGGGCUCCCUGGGUGCAGUGGCAAGGGAGGGCGCCCUGGCGCGGCAAGGGAGGGCCUGGGCGUGGCUGGGAGGGCCUAGGCGCGGAGAGGAUGGCCUGCGCGCGGCCUGGGGACCGAAGCUGGGCGGCGAGGACGAGCGCCUGGGCGCGGCCUGGGGACCGAAGCUGGACGGCGAGGACGAGCGCCUGGAUGCGGGGCUGAUGCGGGGACGUGAGGAAGAAGACGACUGGUUUGAAAUUCAAAUCAAGGGCAUAAUUGUCUAUUUGCACUUUUGUCGGCUGUGUGUGAAAAUCCCUCAACGUCUUAUAAUUCUUUCCAGAGGGAGUACUUAACUAAGUCUUAGUCGAUUCUAUAUUCGUGAGAUCUUACGUGGAGAUCUGUGCAAUUUUUUACA
This is a non-coding RNA of Aegilops tauschii subsp. strangulata, 1188 nucleotides long. Lineage: Eukaryota; Viridiplantae; Streptophyta; Magnoliopsida; Poales; Poaceae. The record is from RefSeq and is a predicted model, not a curated record.